This 495-nucleotide ribosomal RNA is filed under the name uncultured bacterium. RNAcentral describes it as "partial 16S ribosomal RNA". It matches the Rfam family "Bacterial small subunit ribosomal RNA", at positions 28 to 507 of the family's 1533-position model. The record is from RNAcentral.
GACGAACGCUGGCGGCGUGCCUAAUACAUGCAAGUAGAACGCUGAAGGAGGAGCUUGCUCUUCUGGAUGAGUUGCGAACGGGUGAGUAACGCGUAGGUAACCUGCCUGGUAGCGGGGGAUAACUAUUGGAAACGAUAGCUAAUACCGCAUAAGAGUAGAUGUUGCAUGACAUUUACUUAAAAGGUGCAAUUGCAUCACUACCAGAUGGACCUGCGUUGUAUUAGCUAGUUGGUGGGGUAACGGCUUACCAAGGCGACGAUACAUAGCCGACCUGAGAGGGUGAUCGGCCACACUGGGACUGAGACACGGCCCAGACUCCUACGGGAGGCAGCAGUAGGGAAUCUUCGGCAAUGGACGGAAGGCUGAACGAGCAACGCCGCGUGAGGGAAGAAGGGUUUCGGAUCGUAAAGCUCUGUUGUAAGAGAAGAACGAGUGUGAGAGUGGAAAGUGCACACUGUGACGGUAUCUUACCAGAAAGGGACGGCUAACUACGUG